Molecule: long non-coding RNA, 1254 nt
Organism: Acinonyx jubatus (cheetah)
Lineage: Eukaryota; Metazoa; Chordata; Mammalia; Carnivora; Felidae
Exons: 3
Source: RefSeq, a predicted model, not a curated record
AGUCUUUCUUUUUCCCUUCUCAAUGACGGGGAACUUCCUCAUUGGCAAACUGAUUAAACACGCCCACCUCCGUGUAGCCAGUCCAACCCACUGUCCACUCACUCUUCCCUUUGGCAAGAAAAGCUGGGCGCAUGCCCCAGCACAGACACCCACAGCCCCACCCAGUAAGAAGCAGAAGCUGAUUUUAUCUCUAAAUCAGGCUAAUGAUAAAAAUACCAGCAACUGCUCCGAUAUCAACACGAAAAAGACCUCAAUAGCAACCUGAUGUGUGAAUGUGGCGUCUUCAAACAGCUCUCUCUUGGCUUCUGCUCCAAGAAGUGGAGAAGGCAGCAGACAGCAGCUUCAGUUUCUAACGGACCCCAGCCACUUCGGGAACUGCAAGAAAGAGGAAUGUAAUGAGUGACAAUGUUUUGUCAAAAACUGGCUACAGAUGUAAUAGAGAGAGCACUGUCCUUGGUGUUUUCGGCAUCUGAAAUCAAGCUCCGUAACCAAUACGAUGACAUAGCUUUGAGCAUGUGACUUCAUCUCCAAGCCUCUGUGCACACAUCUGCAAGAAUGCGAUAAACUGAGGAACCACUUCUCAGAGAUGUGAAAGUACACCUUCCACAGGCCUGGAUGUUCACACAUACAGAGGAAAGAGGGGAGUGAGGCUUCCCCUCGCAAGGGCAAGUGGAAGGAUCUUCUGUCUACUGCAGCAAAAGAACAAAAGCAGACAAAAAGGAGGGCAUAGGGACGAGGUGUCCUAAUUCGCCUCAUCUCCUGGAAAGCUGAGGGACAUCCAGUAGGAAAUCCUGGUUUCACUUGGGCCUCAAUUCCCAUCCCAACUGACGGGUGCCUGCUCUUCCGUACUGAUGUUUCUUCAGACAAACUCAGUGCGUCUCUAUUUGCCUGCGAAGACCUGCCCCUCACUCACCCCCCAGCUCCCACCUCUUCUUGAAAACGGUUUCUGAUGAUCUGACCUACUGCUGGAUCAGGCGUUCCCCUCUGUCUUCUCAUAAUCUGUCCCCAUGAACCUCUCACGUAACCUUCGUCACACCCCGAUAAAGAAGUUGGUCCUCUUACGCUUAUCCCUCCUCUAUAAAACCAGAAUAAGAUCUGCCUGACCUUCCCUGCAGGAAGCUGAUAUGCAUCAGGUGGAAAUUAUAACAACACAGCAACAAUUCGUGUUUUUACUUCUACACAACUGUGCAUUUAAAAGUCUUCUCUCCUUUAUUCUGUGAGACAGCCCCUUAGAACAACAGAGCACUAGAUAAA